GUGCUCACUUCGGCAGCACAUAUACUAAAAUUGGAAUGAUACAGAGAAUAUUAGCAUGGCCCCUGUGCAAGGAUGAUAUGCAAAUUCAUGAAGCGUUCCAUAUUUUU
This 107-nucleotide small nuclear RNA is filed under the name Octodon degus (degu). Lineage: Eukaryota; Metazoa; Chordata; Mammalia; Rodentia; Octodontidae. The record is from RNAcentral.